Molecule: ribosomal RNA, 495 nt
Filed under: uncultured bacterium
Lineage: Bacteria
Description: partial 16S ribosomal RNA
Rfam family: Bacterial small subunit ribosomal RNA
Source: RNAcentral
GACGAACGCUGGCGGCGUGCCUAAUACAUGCAAGUAGAACGCUGAAGGAGGAGCUUGCUUCUCUGGAUGAGUUGCGAACGGGUGAGUAACGCGUAGGUAACCUGCCUGGUAGCGGGGGAUAACUAUUGGAAACGAUAGCUAAUACCGCAUAAUAGUAGAUGUUGCAUGACAUUUGCUUAAAAGGUGCAAUUGCAUCACUACCAGAUGGACCUGCGGUGUAUUAGCUAGUUGGUGGGGUAACGGCUCACCAAGGCGACGAUACAUAGCCGACCUGAGAGGGUGAUCGGCCACACUGGGACUGAGACACGGCCCAGACUCCUACGGGAGGCAGCAGUAGGGAAUCUUCGGCAAUGGACGGAAGGCUGAACGAGCAACGCCGCGUGAGUGAAGAAGGGUUUCGGAUCGUAAAGCUCUGUUGUAAGAGAAGAACGAGUGGGAGAGUGGAAAGUUCACACUGUGACGGUAUCUUACCAGAAAGGGACGGCUAACUACGUG